RNAcentral lists this ribosomal RNA (2348 nucleotides) under marine metagenome. RNAcentral's name for it is "bacterial LSU rRNA". It matches the Rfam family "Bacterial large subunit ribosomal RNA", at positions 96 to 2306 of the family's 2925-position model. The record is from RNAcentral.
GCCUUGAUCCGUGGAUGUCCGAAUGGGGAAACCCGGCACCUUUAAUGUGGUGUCACUCCCGCCUGAACACAUAGGGCGGGUAGAGGGAACGAGGGGAACUGAAACAUCUCAGUACCCUGAGGAAAGGAAAGCAAUAGCGACUCCCUGAGUAGCGGCGAGCGAAACGGGAAGAGCCCAAACCGAACUGGUGGAACAGCCUGGUGGCGUUGCCUGUUCGGGGUUGUGGGACCUCACUGACCGAGCACCAGAUCGGUCGAGGAGUUACAAAGUCAGUGUGUAGUGGAACGGCUCUGGAAAGGCCGGCCGCAGAGGGUAAUGGCCCCGUACACGAAACGUACUGACCUCCUGUGAGUGUUCCCGAGUAGCGCCGGUUCCGUGAAGGCCGGCGUGAAUCUGCGAGGACCACCUCGUAAGGCUAAGUAUGAGUCGGCGACCGAUAGCGAACUAGUACCGUGAGGGAAAGGUGAAAAGUACCCCGGGAGGGGAGUGAAAUAGUACCUGAAACCAUUGGUUUACAAGCAGUUGAAGAGUAGUCACCAUUUAUGGUGGCCUCGACAGCGUGCCUUUUGAAGAAUGAGCCAGCGAGUUACGGUGUGUGGCAAGGUUAACCAGCGAUGGGAAGCCGGAGCGAAAGCGAGUCUGAAUAGGGCGUAUAGUCGCAUGCUGUAGACCCGAAGCCGGGUGAUCUAUCCAUGGGCAGGGUGAAGCGGAGGUAAGACUCCGUGGAGGCCCGAACCGACCUAGGUUGAAAACUGGGCGGAUGACCUGUGGAUAGGGGUGAAAGGCCAAUCAAACCCGGUGAUAUCUGGUUCUCCGCGAAAUGCAUUUUGGUGCAGCGUCGCACGUUCAGCCAUGGAGGUAGAGCACUGAUUGGGUCAGGGGGCCUACAAGCUUACCAACCCCAGUCAAACUCCGAAUGCCAUGGCUCCAGAGUGCGGCAGUGAGUCCACGGGGGAUGAGCUUCGUUGGACGAGAGGGAAACAGCCCAGAGCGCCGGCUAAGGCCCCUAAGUGUGUGUUAAGUGGCAAACGAUGUGGGAUUGCACAGACAGCCAGGAGGUUGGCUUAGAAGCAGCCACCCUUGAAAGAGUGCGUAACAGCUCACUGGUCGAGUGGUCCUGCGCGGAUAAUGUAACGGGGCUAAACACACCGCCGAAGCCGCGCCUUCGAGUAAUCGAGGGGUAGCGGAGCGUCGUGUCUGCAAUGAAGUCGGAGUGUGAACUUCGGUGGAGCGGUCACGAGUGAGAAUGCUGGCAUGAGUAGCGAGAGAGGGGUGAGAAUCCCCUCCGCCGAAAGCCCAAGGGUUCCUGGGGAAGGCUCGUCCUCCCAGGGUUAGUCGGGCGCUAAGGCGAGGCCGAAAGGCGUAGUCGAUGCACAACCGGUUGAUAUUCCGGUACCACCACGUGCGCGUCCAUUUUGAUUCUUGGUUGCUAAGGGGCUGUCCUCCCUUCGGGGAACGACGAACCGACCCACCUUGAUGACGAAAGCAAAGAGGGGACGCAGGAGGAUAGGUGAACCCAGGCGAUGGUUGUCCUGGGGCAAGCGUGUAGGACGGGGACUAGGUAAAUCCGGGCCCCAUUAAGUCCGAGACGCGACGCCGAGCCGCUACAGGCGAAGUCACUGAUUCCAUGCUGCCGAGAAAAGCCUCUAGCUAGUUCAUGUGGUGCCCGUACCCCAAACCAACACAGGUGGGCAAGUAGAGAAUACUCAGGCGAUCGGGAGAACUGUGGUUAAGGAACUCGGCAAAUUGCAUCCGUAACUUCGGGAGAAGGAUGACCUCAUUAGGGUGAAAGUCUUACGACUCGAGCUCGAAGAGGUGGCACAAACCAGGGGAAAGCGACUGUUUACUAAAAACACAGCAGCGUGCUAAGUCGAAAGACGAUGUAUACGCUGUGACGCCUGCCCGGUGCCGGAAGGUUACGGGGAACGGUUAGCCCUAGGGCGAAGCUGUGAACCUAAGCCCCGGUAAACGGCGGCCGUAACUAUAACGGUCCUAAGGUAGCGAAAUUCCUUGUCGGGUAAGUUCCGACCUGCACGAAUGGCGUAACGACUUUCCCGCUGUCUCAACCACAGACCCGGCGAAAUUGAAGUACGAGUAAAGAUGCUCGUUAGCUACAGAAGGACGGAAAGACCCCGUGGACCUUUACUAUAACUUGGUAUUGGGUUUCGGCAUGGGUUGUGUAGGAUAGGUCGGAGACUAGGAAGCGUGCGCGCUAGCGUGCGUGGAGUCAACCUUGAAAUACGACCCUGCCCAUGUUGGAACUCUAACUUUGGACCCUGAUCGGGUUCGGGAACAGUGCCAGGCGGGUAGUUUGACUGGGGCGGUCGCCUCCCAAAAAGUAACGGAGG